RNAcentral lists this long non-coding RNA (1660 nucleotides) under Mus musculus (house mouse). RNAcentral describes it as "RIKEN cDNA 4933402J15 gene". The record is from RNAcentral. Lineage: Eukaryota; Metazoa; Chordata; Mammalia; Rodentia; Muridae.
AAGUUCCGAAGCACCCCUAAACAGGAAAGGGGGCUCGCCAGCUAGCCGUUGUACCCUCAUGUCUUUCGCAGCUGCAAGUGCUCUUGGAAGAUAGAGUAGAUGGGAAAUAGAUGACUGAAACGGGAUUUCGUGGUGCGACCUCCUCAAGGUCUUUGCAAUGAUUCAGUUGCUUUGGGAUCUUCUGUGCUCCUGCAAAUAACCCUUCAUGCACACUGUAUAUAGCAUUUUAUCACGGCAACAGGAAUGAAGCUAGGACAGAGUCCAGGAUUGUUGAUAGGAUCUUUUCUGGGUCACAUGCUCUGGGACUGGCUGAGCUGAAUGCCCUACACAGGCUUUGGGACUGCAGACCUGGUGAACUGAGAUGAUCUACUCUGUCCUAUCAAAGGAAGAAAAGAGGGAACUCCACAGAGAAGGGCUCAAAGACAUAUGAGACCAUACCACAUCCAGGAAUAGAAAAAGGCACAUGGUCCAUGGGAAUGUGAGAAAUAGAAGCACCAACAGCUCAACUGCCUGCAUAGGAUUAUGCAGCUGAUUGAGAGACAGAACCUGAUGGCAUAAAAGACUGACAUUAAAUAUAGGAGACUGAAUAAUUCCCUUACAUCAGAACCACCGAAUCUAAAAGGCAUGCCACUUUUGCUCGAGCUCAUCAAAAUUCUGGAAGUAGAAAACUAAUGUGAAAAAAAAAAAAAAGCCAGGCUUUGCAAAGAACAAAGUAACCAAAAACAUGUCAGCAAUUUCACCAUCCCAGAUCCAGAUCACAUAAAACCUAAUAGCUAAGUGGUGAAGACAUUUUGAGACGUUCUUUUUAAAAAUCCAUGGAGGUAGCAAGCCAAGACACUCCACAAACAGACAUGACAUAAUGGGAUUAAUUUAUGGAAAUGACAUAUCCGAACAGCACAGCAAUGACAUUCAUAUAAAUCAUUUAAAUCAGUGACCACAAUCUAAAGCUGCACAGAGUUUUUUUUCCAAUGGGAAGGAAGUCUCUGAACACUGAGUUGCAACUGUAUUUGAAUUUCUCCUGCCAAAUCUUUUAUCAAGUACUUAUAGACUCAAAAUGUAAGAUAUUUUAUCUGUGCCAAUAAUGUCCCUGGAGUCAAUAAAGUCAUGCUGAAGUUUCAGAAGGCACAAGACAAGUAAAGCCACCAACAAAAGGCCAGCUGGCUGCCUGAGUCGCACAGAGUGACAUAUCAUGGAUUAUUUUCGCCUUUUUGCCUUGAUCCCUACAUUUUACAUAUUGUAUUUACUAAUAUUAUUUCAUGAAGAGCUUGUAAUUUGCCUCAUGAUUUGAGUUUUCUUGGCUCUGUAUCUCAGGUACAUUUUUCUCCAAACCUGCAGCAUCAAGAUAUCUGACCUAUUGAUCCAGCAGAAAACUUUCCCUGGAAACCAUUUGUGAGAUGUACCUGUGACACAAUGCCUGCCACCAUUGAACCCUGGGCUUCUAAAUAAUUACCUUAAAGACCUUAAGGAUGUCCAAACUUCCAUCCUCCAGACUUCUGGCAAGGCACGUUUGACUUAAAACAGCAUUAGAAAGCUUAUACUUUGUUUUUCCACUAAGAAACUUUUUCCAACAAUGGAUUGUGAAUGUUUAUUUCUUUCAAACUAUUCUUUGUUUAUAGACAAAAUUACUGAGAAGUUUCUGUAAUAAACUGAAAAUUACUUC